AACAUGGAGAGUUUGAUCCUGGCUCAGGAUGAACGCUGGCGGCGUGCCUAACACAUGCAAGUCGAACGGGAUCUUCGGAUCCAGUGGCGGACGGGUGAGUAACGCGUGGGAAUCUGCCCUUGGGAGGGGGAUAACAGUGGGAAACCGCUGCUAAUACCCCAUAUGCCGUGAGGUGAAAGGAAUUUCGCCCGGGGAUGAGCCCGCGUCUGAUUAGCUAGUUGGUGGGGUAAUGGCCCACCAAGGCUUCGAUCAGUAGCUGGUCUGAGAGGAUGAUCAGCCACACUGGGACUGAGACACGGCCCAGACUCCUACGGGAGGCAGCAGUGGGGAAUUUUCCGCAAUGGGCGAAAGCCUGACGG
RNAcentral lists this ribosomal RNA (359 nucleotides) under Gloeobacter violaceus SpSt-379. Its description in RNAcentral is "bacterial SSU rRNA". It matches the Rfam family "Bacterial small subunit ribosomal RNA", at positions 1 to 389 of the family's 1533-position model. Lineage: Bacteria; Bacillati; Cyanobacteriota; Cyanophyceae; Gloeobacterales; Gloeobacteraceae. The record is from RNAcentral.